Molecule: ribosomal RNA, 253 nt
Filed under: uncultured bacterium
Lineage: Bacteria
Description: partial 16S ribosomal RNA
Rfam family: Bacterial small subunit ribosomal RNA
Source: RNAcentral
UACGUAGGGUGCAAGCGUUGUCCGGAAUUAUUGGGCGUAAAGAGCUUGUAGGCGGUUUGUCGCGUCUGCUGUGAAAUUUCGGGGCUCAACCCCGAACUUGCAGUGGGUACGGGCAGACUAGAGUGUGGUAGGGGAGACUGGAAUUCCUGGUGUAGCGGUGAAAUGCGCAGAUAUCAGGAGGAACACCGGUGGCGAAGGCGGGUCUCUGGGCCGAUACUGACGCUGAGGAGCGAAAGCUAGGGGAGCAAACGGG